UACGGAGGAUCCGAGCGUUAUCCGGAUUUAUUGGGUUUAAAGGGUGCGUAGGUGGAUUGGUAAGUCAGUGGUGAAAGUUUGCAGCUUAACUGUAAAAUUGCCGUUGAAACUGCCGGUCUUGAGUGCAAAUGAGGUAGGCGGAAUGCGUCGUGUAGCGGUGAAAUGCUUAGAUAUGACGCAGAACUCCGAUUGCGAAGGCAGCUUACUGGGAUGCAACUGACGCUGAGGCACGAAAGCGUGGGGAGCAAACAGGAUUAGAUA
This 261-nucleotide ribosomal RNA is filed under the name uncultured prokaryote. RNAcentral's name for it is "partial 16S ribosomal RNA". It matches the Rfam family "Bacterial small subunit ribosomal RNA", at positions 524 to 784 of the family's 1533-position model. The record is from RNAcentral.